This 685-nucleotide ribosomal RNA is filed under the name uncultured bacterium. RNAcentral describes it as "bacterial SSU rRNA". It matches the Rfam family "Bacterial small subunit ribosomal RNA", at positions 8 to 690 of the family's 1533-position model. The record is from RNAcentral.
AGAGUUUGAUCCUGGCUCAGGAUGAACGCUAGCGGCAGGCCUAAUACAUGCAAGUCGAACGGCAGCGGGUCCUUCGGGAUGCCGGCGAGUGGCGGACGGGUGCGUAACGCGUAUGCAACCUACCCAUCACAGGGGGAUAGCCCGGGGAAACUCGGAUUAAUACCCCAUAAAGCAGGGGUUUCUCAUGGAACUAUUUGCUAAAGAUUUAUCGGUGAUGGAUGGGCAUGCGUCUGAUUAGCUAGUUGGUGAGGUAAAGGCUCACCAAGGCGACGAUCAGUAGGGGGUCUGAGAGGAUGAUCCCCCACACUGGCACUGAGAUACGGGCCAGACUCCUACGGGAGGCAGCAGUAGGGAAUAUUGGUCAAUGGACGAGAGUCUGAACCAGCCAUGCCGCGUGCAGGAAGACGGCCUUCUGGGUUGUAAACUGCUUUUCUACGGGAAUAAAAAGGUUCUGCGGGACAAAUUGCAUGUACCGUAGGAAUAAGCACCGGCUAACUCCGUGCCAGCAGCCGCGGUAAUACGGAGGGUGCAAGCGUUGUCCGGAUUUAUUGGGUUUAAAGGGUGCGUAGGCGGAUAAUUAAGUCAGGGGUGAAAGGCAGUGGCUCAACCAUUGAAUUGCCUUUGAUACUGGUUAUCUUGAGUUCAGUUGAGGUGGGCGGAAUUUAUGGUGUAGCGGUGAAAUGCA